GGCCGUGUGGCGAAAUGGCAUCGCGUCUGACUACGAUUGAAUUCACCGCGACUCCCUGCUUACGUAAUCAGGAGAUUGUAGGUUCGACCCCUACCUCGGUCA
This is a non-coding RNA of Psilocybe cubensis, 102 nucleotides long. NCBI's taxonomy places the organism in Eukaryota, Fungi, Basidiomycota, Agaricomycetes, Agaricales, Agrocybaceae. The record is from the annotation of a RefSeq genome assembly.